CUUUGAAGCUUGAGCUCCAGUCAAGGCUGCUUCUAGUAACCUUUCUAUGGUCAUUCCUUCCACAUCGCAGGGGUUAAGUGCAUGGUGCCCGCCCAUCCCCUACCCUCAUCUGGAAAAUCUCUGAAAAGUUUUUUGUUCCUUUGUACCAGAGAAGAAGUCAGAAUUUCUUCUUUUUCUUUUAUGGGGUGUUGAUAUAAUACAAGAUUAUACGUAUAUUUUGUGCAUUUCUGAGUUUCUAAACUUUUUCUGUGUCGUCUGCUGACCUCCCCUCAUUGUUUUUGGCUUCUGCAAAACUCUCAAAAUAUUCCCAUUUAAUUUCUUAUGUCGAUCCACGACACAGCAAAACUACAUUGGAGAAAGUUGCGACGUGGAAGGGAUAACUGUACUUACUCGAGAGAGGUAUGGUGUGGUGGAAAUAAGUCUGGAUUGCGAAUCAGAAGACCCAAGUUUCAGUCCUGACUCUGUCAGCUGCACAACUGGGGCUUGUUUCCUGUAAGAUGAGGGGACUGAUAUGACUCGAGAGGACGGCAAAGGUCCUCUCUAACUCUAAGAUCUUACGUUCUUCUUGUCUCUGGACCUCAGUUAUCUUAUCUGUAAAAAGGGCACUCCCUUGCCUACAUCACGAAGGCCUUGUGAGGAUGAGAUGAAAUAACAGGUUGGAAAAUG
Phascolarctos cinereus (koala) is the source of this 666-nucleotide long non-coding RNA. RefSeq lists it as uncharacterized. NCBI's taxonomy places the organism in Eukaryota, Metazoa, Chordata, Mammalia, Diprotodontia, Phascolarctidae. The record is from RefSeq and is a predicted model, not a curated record.